Long non-coding RNA from Chelonoidis abingdonii (Abingdon island giant tortoise), 409 nucleotides. RefSeq lists it as uncharacterized. The record is from RefSeq and is a predicted model, not a curated record. NCBI's taxonomy places the organism in Eukaryota, Metazoa, Chordata, Testudines, Testudinidae.
AUAAAAGAGGGUCGAAAUAAUAAAUGACUCGACGGAACGAACUAGCACCCAGAUUUCUGCAAGAACCUCGGGAGUCUCACGUGCUCGCUUGCCAGGAAGAGCAGAAAUGGGUUAAAACAACAUUGUCCUCGUUAACUGUUGGCAUCAGGUGAAUACUGUGCCAGGGUCGCAUUAUUAAACCAACCAGGAUACAGAUCUACAAGGCAAACUAAAGGUUUCAACUGCUAUUCAGCGCCUCCUCAUUUGUCCCGGAGCCCUAACAGUGGUGCCUUUUCUUCCCUGGCUGCUUUUCCCUGCUUCUGGAGCAGCAGUUAUGGUAGAAGCAGAUGGCUACUGAUUGGCACUGAAGACAUUACCUGUGUCCCCAAAUUGCACCAAAGACAGUCAAAGAACAUGGUCCUUGGUCAUG